This 21-nucleotide non-coding RNA is filed under the name Arabidopsis thaliana (thale cress). Lineage: Eukaryota; Viridiplantae; Streptophyta; Magnoliopsida; Brassicales; Brassicaceae. The record is from RNAcentral.
UCUUCUCGGCUACGUAAGCUU